Molecule: long non-coding RNA, 290 nt
Filed under: Lathyrus oleraceus (garden pea)
Lineage: Eukaryota; Viridiplantae; Streptophyta; Magnoliopsida; Fabales; Fabaceae
Description: Pisum sativum (pea) long non-coding RNA (PSAT_LNC041067)
Source: RNAcentral
GAAAUAGAGCAUACCUGAUUGGGGAGGAUCGAUUGAAAUUGAGUUGCACCCGUGAGGUUUGCAGAGCAAUGUGGACCUGUGGGCUCAAAUGAGAGAGACCCAAGUCCAAAUUUUUUUUUGUUAUAUUUUAUUUAUUUAUUUAUUUUAUUUUUUUUCGUUUUCCCUUUUUUUUUUUAGUAAACAAAAGUAAGAGAAACAAUGAUGUAUAAUUCAAGCAUGCUUGGUGAUCUCAAACCAAUCACAAGGAGUCCCACCCAAAGGCAAAGGGAACCAAGAUGCUCAUGAUCCUU